Long non-coding RNA from Tupaia belangeri chinensis (Chinese tree shrew), 874 nucleotides. RefSeq lists it as uncharacterized. The record is from RefSeq and is a predicted model, not a curated record. The transcript has 3 exons. Lineage: Eukaryota; Metazoa; Chordata; Mammalia; Scandentia; Tupaiidae.
GUGUGACCCUGGGACAUUGCGUCAAUUCCUCAAAUGAUGUUCUCUGUCAUUAAUACAUCCCUACUCUCAGCAGCCAGUCACCAGUAGCUGGCCGAACUUUGCCUGUCCAUGCUCCACCUGCUCCUACCCCCUAUUUUCUAGAAUUGUGACAACUCUCCCCAGCAACAUGAUAGAUGAUAGGAAAUUUUGUUUCUGUAAAUUCUGAACAUUAUAAACAAAGCAAAAUUCUUAUUUCAGAACCCUCAGGGGUGACUGGCUCAGGACUUUCUCUUCUCUGUAAUUUCAGCCAUAACCUAACAAACCUGCCCUUCACAAAGUCUAGCCACUUUCCUCACUUAAGGAGCUCGCCCCAGCUUCCUCACAACUGGCACUGCCCUAAAGAAAUGGGUUCGCAUGCAUCCUGAUCGCAGCCCAUCUGAGAAGACACUCUGACUGCGAAUGAACCUAGCCACUGGAAAUGAAGCGGAGGCAAAGGUUAAGAUUCCUCUGACAAUGCUACUAGCUAGGCGACUCUCCAGCACCCUGCUCCUGCCGUGAGGACAGCAACAAGGAAAAGCAGGCACGUACUUCUGGAGACCAGACUCAGACACGUCUGCUAGAAGACGACUGGACCCUGCCCUUCAAACAGACCCACUCCACUGGCACGCCAGGUAUCAGCAAAGACAACAAUGGAAAGACAGAGUGAAUAUUUGCUUACCUUUAGACAUCAGAGUUCGGCAAUAACCCCACUUUCUUCCCUCCCAUUCCCUGUAUCUUCAAAACAUGAAAAACAUACUAUCCAGGAAAAGAAAACUAUUACAUGAGAAUUAUGUUAUCUAUUUUUCAUACACUUAAAUUUAGUAAGAUCAGGACCAUAAGAUGGUAUAAUGUUACG